RNAcentral lists this ribosomal RNA (492 nucleotides) under uncultured bacterium. Its description in RNAcentral is "partial 16S ribosomal RNA". It matches the Rfam family "Bacterial small subunit ribosomal RNA", at positions 29 to 507 of the family's 1533-position model. The record is from RNAcentral.
AGUGAACGCUGGCGGUAGGCCUAACACAUGCAAGUCGAACGGCAGCACAGUAAGAGCUUGCUCUUACGGGUGGCGAGUGGCGGACGGGUGAGGAAUACAUCGGAAUCUACUUUUUCGUGGGGGAUAACGUAGGGAAACUUACGCUAAUACCGCAUACGACCUACGGGUGAAAGCAGGGGAUCUUCGGACCUUGCGCGAUUGAAUGAGCCGAUGUCGGAUUAGCUAGUUGGCGGGGUAAAGGCCCACCAAGGCGACGAUCCGUAGCUGGUCCGAGAGGAUGGUCAGCCACACUGGAACUGAGACACGGUCCAGACUCCUACGGGAGGCAGCAGUGGGGAAUAUUGGACAAUGGGCGCAAGCCUGAUCCAGCCAUACCGCGUGGGUGAAGAAGGCCUUCGGGUUGUAAAGCCCUUUUGUUGGGAAAGAAAAGCAGCAGGUUAAUACCCCGCUGUUCUGACGGUACCCAAAGAAUAAGCACCGGCUAACUUCGUG